GCAGUGAGGAAUAUUGGUCAAUGGGCGAGAGCCUGAACCAGCCAAGUCGCGUGAGGGAAGACGGUCCUAUGGAUUGUAAACCUCUUUUGCCGGGGAGCAAAGAGCGGCACGUGUGCCGCGCCGAGAGUACCCGGAGAAAAAGCAUCGGCUAACUCCGUGCC
RNAcentral lists this ribosomal RNA (161 nucleotides) under uncultured bacterium. RNAcentral describes it as "partial 16S ribosomal RNA". It matches the Rfam family "Bacterial small subunit ribosomal RNA", at positions 351 to 509 of the family's 1533-position model. The record is from RNAcentral.